This 525-nucleotide ribosomal RNA is filed under the name uncultured bacterium. Its description in RNAcentral is "bacterial SSU rRNA". It matches the Rfam family "Bacterial small subunit ribosomal RNA", at positions 8 to 526 of the family's 1533-position model. The record is from RNAcentral.
AGGGUUCGAUUAUGGCUCAGGAUGAACGCUAGCGGCAGGCUUAACACAUGCAAGUCGAGGGGUAACAGGGAUUGCUUGCAAUCCGCUGACGACCGGCGCACGGGUGCGUAACGCGUAUGCAACCUACCUUCUACAGGGGAAUAGUCAAUAGAAAUGUUGAAUAAUACCCCAUACGAUCUUUGAAUAGCAUUAUUUAGAGAAGAAAGUUCCGGCGGUAGAAGAUGGGCAUGCGUCCUAUUAGUUAGUUGGAGAGGUAACGGCUCCCCAAGACAUCGAUAGGUAGGGGUCCUGAGAGGGAGACCCCCCACACUGGUACUGAGACACGGACCAGACUCCUACGGGAGGCAGCAGUGAGGAAUAUUGGACAAUGGAGGCAACUCUGAUCCAGCCAUGCCGCGUGCAGGAAGACUGCCCUAUGGGUUGUAAACUGCUUUUAUACAGGAAGAAAUGUACCUACGUGUAGGUAUUUGACGGUACUGUACGAAUAAGGAUCGGCUAACUCCGUGCCAGCCGCCGCGGUAAUAC